GUAGUUACCAAGUUCCCUCAGAUGAAGGAAGGGAGAACCCUAAUCUGAAGAGGGGAGGUCUGAAGUGGACAGGAACAGUAUCAAGGAGACCACAGGAGGCAAAACAUUAAAAGUUGAAGAAACAGCAUAAAUAACAGAAGACUGAAACUAAGCUGAUUGGAUCAAGGACAGACACCUGACCAAGGACAGUCACGCUGUGCUUUAUGUCCCGGCAGAAAAAGGCUCUGAUUUGUAUCCUAAAGGAGUAGUCCAACGGAAAUAGGCAAAUGCCAGCAAUGGGAGAAGAAUUAGACUCCACUUCUUGAUGAGAGAGUGAGAGAAGAACCUGAAACAAGGGCUUUAUGCAUAUGUUGCUAAAUCCAGUGGGACCAUCUGAGAAACCAUAUAAAAUGCAUAUCAGGUCUGUCCAUCCCAGGAGAGAAAGGGAUGGCCCCUGACUGCCGGAAUCUACUUUUUUCCACUGUGGUAGAAGUAUUUGGGGACUUAUAUCCUUCCAGGAGUAGUUCUUAUCCAAUCACUGAUAGGUUCAGGGGUUUAAAUAUUUCAGCCAUUGUGGCUUGAUCAGGAUAAGUCUGAGGUGUGAUCCACACUGUUUAGAGAUAUCCUCUAUGGGACAGAGACAAAGUUACCCUCCAUGAAACUUUGCUUUAUAAUAUACCCCUCCUUAGCCUUCUUACCUUACUAGUCCUAUUUCCUUGCUACACACCCCAUGCCCCUGAUUUUCCUGGGAAAAUUUUCUAUUAAUCGUGUUCACAUGAGUCAUCUUCCGAGAGUCUGUUUCUGGGGAAUACAACUUAAGGCAGAGAUAUAACAAUAAGAAUUUUAAUCUUCUUCCCAGAAAGCAAUGGGAAGAAUAAAGGGAAGAUCAGUCAUCCUGUUCUAUCUUCUUAAAUUUGAGCUUUCUCCACUGACAUGUCUCAGAUGUGCUUGGGAGGAAAAUCAACUCAUUUUGGACAUCCAGAUUCAUUCAGGAAAUUGGCAAUAUAUAUCUGGACUACAGGAAAGAGGUCAGAGCCAGAGAUAUAUUAAAUUAAAACAAGCUGGGUUGUAAACUCAUAGUGUAUGAGAGUUAUGCUGAUUUACUUUUCUAUGAACUACUUGCCCAUCCUCACCUAAUUUUAAAAUUCAGUACAGCUGUGAUUUUCAUCAAAUGUUUAUGAUCCUAUUAUAGGAUAUAUUUUUAGCCUUAAUAAAAGGAAGUUGAUAAAGCUUCAU
Molecule: long non-coding RNA, 1215 nt
Filed under: Homo sapiens (human)
Lineage: Eukaryota; Metazoa; Chordata; Mammalia; Primates; Hominidae
Description: non-protein coding lnc-SPAG16-11:2
Source: RNAcentral